RNAcentral lists this long non-coding RNA (235 nucleotides) under Hordeum vulgare. RNAcentral describes it as "long non-coding RNA (HVUL_LNC014232)". Lineage: Eukaryota; Viridiplantae; Streptophyta; Magnoliopsida; Poales; Poaceae. The record is from RNAcentral.
AACACGAUUAUGAUUCCCAAAUGAAGAAGUGACCAUUCAACUGGUAAUGGGACAGAACUAUCGAUAAUGAAUCAAGGAUGUGCACAGUAGCCAAGUACAGUCAGAGAUAACAAUAAGUAUAUGAAGGAAUCAAGUUGAGUCAUCCGGGGUGGAUCAGGUUGUUAUUACUCCAAACUAAAGUUGCAUCAUCCGAAUUUAUUCACAGUACCAAAACAGCUACUGUUUCUAAUUGCCG